Molecule: ribosomal RNA, 3311 nt
Filed under: Paralysiella testudinis
Lineage: Bacteria; Pseudomonadati; Pseudomonadota; Betaproteobacteria; Neisseriales; Neisseriaceae
Description: Bacterial large subunit ribosomal RNA
Rfam family: Bacterial large subunit ribosomal RNA
Source: Rfam by way of RNAcentral
AGUCAAGUGAAUAAGUGCAUCAGGUGGAUGCCUUGGCGAUGAUAGGCGACGAAGGACGUGUAAGCCUGCGAAAAGCGCGGGGAGCUGGCAAUAGAGCUGUGAUCCGCGAUGUCCGAAUGGGAAACCCACCGCAUUUUGUGCGGUAUCCAUAACUGAAUACAUAGGUUAUGAGAAGCGAACCCGGAGAACUGAACCAUCUAAGUACCCGGAGGAAAAGAAAUCAACCGAGAUUCCGUAAGUAGUGGCGAGCGAACACGGAAGAGCCUGUAUGUGAUAGCUGUUGAGAUAGAAGAACAACUUGGGAAAGUUGGCCAUAGUGGGUGAAAGCCCCGUAUUCGAAAUCUCAUCAGUGGUACUAAGCAUACGACAAGUAGGGCGGGACACGAGAAAUCCUGUCUGAACAUGGGGGACCAUCCUCCAAGGCUAAAUACUCAUCAUCGACCGAUAGUGAACCAGUACCGUGAGGGAAAGGCGAAAAGAACCCCGGGAGGGAGUGAAAUAGAACCUGAAACCUGAUGCAUACAAACAGUGGGAGCGGACAAGUUCCGUGACUGCGUACCUUUUGUAUAAUGGGUCAACGACUUACAUUCAGUAGCGAGCUUAACCGGAUAGGGGAGGCGCAGGGAAACCGAGUCUUAAUAGGGCGACUAGUUGCUGGGUGUAGACCCGAAACCGAGUGAUCCAUCCAUGGCCAGGAUGAAGGUGCCGUAACAGGUACUGGAGGUCCGAACCCACGCAUGUUGCAAAAUGCGGGGAUGAGCUGUGGAUAGGGGUGAAAGGCUAAACAAACUCGGAGAUAGCUGGUUCUCCCCGAAAACUAUUUAGGUAGUGCCUCGAGCAAGACACUGAUGGGGGUAAAGCACUGUUAUGGCUAGGGGUCAUUGCGACUUACCAACCCAUGGCAAACUAAGAAUACCAUCAAGUGAUUCCUCGGGAGACAGACAGCGGGUGCUAACGUCCGUUGUCAAGAGGGAAACAACCCAGACCGCCAGCUAAGGUCCCAAAUGAUAGAUUAAGUGGUAAACGAAGUGGGAAGGCCCAGACAGCCAGGAUGUUGGCUUAGAAGCAGCCAUCAUUUAAAGAAAGCGUAAUAGCUCACUGGUCGAGUCGUCCUGCGCGGAAGAUGUAACGGGGCUCAAAUCUAUAACCGAAGCUGCGGAUUCAGGAAUCAGACUACAGGAAUCAGGAAUCAGGAUGAAAGCACAGCGAUUCGAAGAUUUGCAGGUAUUUCAAAAGCGUACCGUAUCUCCUUAGAGAUACACCGCAGCAGUUUGGAAUUUCCACAAAUCGAACAAUACGCACUGGCCGAUUAAAUUAGACGCGCCAGCAAAAGCAUCUGUUCAAAUCUUGCUGAAGGCUAUGGCAAAAGAAGCCAGUCGCCAGCAGAAUUUAAAAGAUACAUCCUGAUCAGUAUCGGCUCAGCAGACGAAAUGCGCGUCUGGCUGCGAUACUGUCUUGAUUUACAGUACAUCAGCAACACGGAAUGGCAAUAUUGGCGAGAAACAUAUGAAGAAAUCGCCAAAAUGCUGCAAGGACUCAGUAAAAGCCUGAAUAAAUAAAGGCAGUUACUGAUACCCGAUUCCUGUAGUCUGAUUCCUGGAUGGUAGGGGAGCGUUCUGUAGGCCGAAGAAGGUGACUUGAGAAGGUUGCUGGAGGUAUCAGAAGUGCGAAUGUUGACAUGAGUAGCGAUAAAGCGGGUGAAAAGCCCGCUCGCCGAAAAGCCCAAGGUUUCCUACGCAACGUUCAUCGGCGUAGGGUGAGUCGGCCCCUAAGGCGAGGCAGAAAUGCGUAGUCGAUGGGAAACGGGUUAAUAUUCCCGUACUUUGAUUUAGUGCGAUGUGGGGACGGAGAAGGUUAUGUCAGCGGCCUGUUGGAAUAGGUCGUUCAAGCCGGUAGGUGGAAAGUUUAGGCAAAUCCGGACUUUCAUAACACCGAGAAGUGAUAACGAGCGUCUACGGACGUGAAGUGACAGAUACCACGCUUCCAGGAAAAGCCACUAAGCUUCAGCUAAAUCAGAACCGUACCGCAAACCGACACAGGUGGGCAGGAUGAGAAUUCUAAGGCGCUUGAGAGAACUCAGGAGAAGGAACUCGGCAAAUUGAUACCGUAACUUCGGGAGAAGGUAUGCCCUUUGAUGUGAAAGACUUGCUCUGUAAGCAUCGGAGGGUCGCAGAGAAUCGGUGGCUGCGACUGUUUAUUAAAAACACAGCACUCUGCAAACACGAAAGUGGACGUAUAGGGUGUGACGCCUGCCCGGUGCUGGAAGGUUAAUUGAAGAUGUGCAAGCAUCGGAUCGAAGCCCCAGUAAACGGCGGCCGUAACUAUAACGGUCCUAAGGUAGCGAAAUUCCUUGUCGGGUAAGUUCCGACCCGCACGAAUGGCGUAACGAUGGCCACACUGUCUCCUCCUGAGACUCAGCGAAGUUGAAAUGGUUGUGAAGAUGCAAUCUACCCGCUGCUAGACGGAAAGACCCCGUGAACCUUUACUGUAGCUUUGCAUUGGACUUUGAAGUCACUUGUGUAGGAUAGGUGGGAGGCUUAGAAGCAGGAACGCUAGUUCUUGUGGAGCCGUCCUUGAAAUACCACCCUGGUGACUUUGAGGUUCUAACCCAGACCCGUAAUCCGGGUCGGGGACCGUGCAUGGUAGGCAGUUUGACUGGGGCGGUCUCCUCCCAAAGAGUAACGGAGGAGUUCGAAGGUUACCUAGGUCCGGUCGGAAAUCGGGCUGAUAGUGCAAUGGCAAAGGUAGCUUAACUGCGAGACCGACAAGUCGAGCAGGUGCGAAAGCAGGACAUAGUGAUCCGGUGGUUCUGAAUGGAAGGGCCAUCGCUCAACGGAUAAAAGGUACUCCGGGGAUAACAGGCUGAUUCCGCCCAAGAGUUCAUAUCGACGGCGGAGUUUGGCACCUCGAUGUCGGCUCAUCACAUCCUGGGGCUGUAGUCGGUCCCAAGGGUAUGGCUGUUCGCCAUUUAAAGUGGUACGUGAGCUGGGUUUAAAACGUCGUGAGACAGUUUGGUCCCUAUCUGCAGUGGGCGUUGGAAGUUUGACGGGGGCUGCUCCUAGUACGAGAGGACCGGAGUGGACGAACCUCUGGUGUACCGGUUGUCACGCCAGUGGCAUCGCCGGGUAGCUAAGUUCGGAAGAGAUAAGCGCUGAAAGCAUCUAAGCGCGAAACUCGCCUGAAGAUGAGACUUCCCUUGCGGCUUGACCGCACUAAAGAGACGUUCGAGACCAGGACGUUGAUAGGUCGGGUGUGGAAGUGCAGCAAUGCAUGAAGCUAACCGAUACUAAUUGCUCGUGAGGCUUGACUCU